Long non-coding RNA from Carya illinoinensis, 1150 nucleotides. RefSeq lists it as uncharacterized. The record is from RefSeq and is a predicted model, not a curated record. The transcript has 5 exons. Lineage: Eukaryota; Viridiplantae; Streptophyta; Magnoliopsida; Fagales; Juglandaceae.
GAUCUCACUUUUGGGGGCACCAAAAUGACGAAGCGCCUUUUAUUUCCCCCCAACGUGAUAUUUCCCCCGCGCGAACCUUCUGCUACUCGAUGAAUUUUCCCCCAAAACCUCCAUUUUCAGACCCUGCAAAUCCACCCUUUCCAGUGUUUUCUCCCAGCGUCAACUCCUCUAUCGUGACCUUUUGGACCAUUUUCCCACACCCUUCUCUGUCCUUCCAUUCUUAGUUCACCAAUUUCGACAACCUGGGUUCUAGAUUUCAUCUUCUGUGGUUUCGUCGCAGCAGCCCUUGGCUAGCACCUCGUCGCAAGCACCUCUGUUUUCAUCCCACUUCCUUCGGCAGAGCUCAAUAAAGAGGGUGCUGAAGAUGGUUCAGGCAAUAGUGGAGGUCAGGCUAAUGGAAAAAAUGGUAAUGAAAGAACUACCACUAAUAGCUCAAAGCAUCACUCGCUCCUAUUACAGCUGCUUGCAACUCAGAUUGGCUUUGAACCUGAUGAUAUAUGUGAUUUUGAGUUGCAAGCAUGUGAUACCCAACCGAGUAUUAUAGCAGGUGCCACAAAGGAAUUCAUCUUCUCAGGGCGGCUUGAUAAUCUCUGCAUGUCAUUUUGCUCCCUAGUGUUUUCCGGAGCAAUGAUAUAUGGCAAGAAUAAAGCAGAUCGAAAAUCAAUUAUGAUCCAUUGGAUUCUGUCAGAUGAGAGCUAUAAAAGAGGAGCUUGGUGACAAUGAUGAUGACAUGGCUGCCUUGGAGAGAUAGAUGCAAAGUGCAGGAAUGCCUUCAAAUAUUUCGAAGCAUGCACAGAGGGAGCUAAGGUAUGAUCUAUGAAGAAAUGUGUAUAAAGAGGACUUUAGUCUUCUGACAAGGGGCCAAAUAAUGUUACAGUGUGGCAAUAAAAGUAGUAGAUUCUUUUCAGGCCACUUAAGGUACGCCUUACUAUGCAAGCAUCAUACUGAACAAUUUAGUUGACUAUAUUGGUUGAGAACCUACAAUUUUUUUUUUUUUUUGAUAGGUUAGUUGAGAACCUAUAAUUGUCAGCUACCUAAAGAUUUCUUUUCAAUAAUUUUAGUUAAUGGUCAUGUUUAAAGUUACAUUGUUCACAUCUGUUUCUCACUCAAGAAAGAUUUGCCUACUUUCCUUGGGAUGGUUUGGGAAGCU